UUUGGAGUGUGUAUGCUCGAGUGCAAGUGGUUCCCACAAAUGCCUCCUUCUUUUCCCUCUUCCUUGAGGACACACUGCUACUAUCCUUCGUGGCUACAAACUGCCCAAGAUUCAUUGUGCGCCCAAAGAGAAGAAACAAAUAAAUAAAUAAUGGUGACCUCAAGAGGUGCAGAUCCCGCAUUUAAAUGGAGUCUGGUUCACCCAAGGAAGGAGCAACCAUCCAGCCAUUGGAUUCCUUGAAGAGAGGCUUCGGAACAGCAGAGAGAGGCUGAGAUCGCAGAGCAGCUCACGCAGCCGAGACCGCCACAAAGCAGUGAAGAAGGCGCCUGUAGGACACGCAUACCAGAAAGAGCCAUACAGUUUAAAGACUGGCUGAGACACGUGACAUGACAGUUCGCAGCCCCUCAGCAAGGUGGAGCUAUACGUGCUGGAUACAGCAGUGUACAGGUCCAAGAUGAUCAGGGGAAACAAGUGGGACAUCCAGGAGACCUGCCAAGAGUUUCUGUAUCUACUCACUCCAGGCAUGAUUGCUUGGGGGAACUGGCCCUGAGCCAGCUACCAAUGCUACUUCCACCAACAGUGUACAAAGCUGACACCAUCAAGGAGUCCAAAUUGGCAUUUAUCGACCAUAAGCCUCCUCAACCACUCGGGGAAUGGGCCUAAACCCAGCCAUCUCACACUUUGGCAGCUGUCACCCAAAAGUUGGUUAGUUACUCAGGAAGAAGGAAUGGAAGUUGAUGCUCCUCCAGAUCCACCUCCACCUCUGCCUGGACUUGGGAAAAAAAGGAAGAAGCAGAAGAAGAAGGAAAAAGUGGAGGGGUCGUAUGACAUUCCCCAUGCCCAUAAUGUGGAAGGAGGAGGGAUCUUCUGAUG
Long non-coding RNA from Acanthopagrus latus (yellowfin seabream), 873 nucleotides. RefSeq lists it as uncharacterized. Lineage: Eukaryota; Metazoa; Chordata; Actinopteri; Spariformes; Sparidae. The transcript has 8 exons. The record is from RefSeq and is a predicted model, not a curated record.